AUUGCAGCUCUAAAUAUACUUUCUUCUCCUUUUUCUUCUUCCAGCAGAGGAAGGACCUGAAGUUGGGGCUGGCUGAGGUGAAGGGCACAUGGAAGUGGCUCAUUCAGCUGCAAUCUGUACGCUGUGCACAGUGAGGGGUGAGAUGGACUUGAUGGAAGCAGCCCCAUCUUGGGAAGAGGUUGAUUAGAAAAAUGGCAUGAAGUUGUAAUUUAUCAUCAGCUCUGGAUAUAUUCUGGGGAGUCCCCUCUCGUGAUUGGGAUUAAAUUAUGUGUGGUGUUAAUGCAGAGUCUUCUGCAACAAUGUAAAUGAGUUGUUAACAUGGCACUUCACAGCCAUAAUAAUUCAAAGCUGGUAGCAGGCUUGAUGGGUCUGCAAUAAAUGUUUUAUUAUUUAGGAAAAAUAUACUAUACAAGUUGCAAUGUGCCAUGCUCAUUCAUGCUGUAAAUCAACAAAGAUCAGCAGACUGAAUAGAAAAAUGAAAAGCUUAUUUAGGAACUGACACAAGCUUUCAGAUGAGCAGGGAUGGCUGAAGUUAACUGCAUUCAUUUUUCUUUGCUUGUCACAGUUGCCACUUGAAUUUCACUGCUAAAGAUUGUGGAUAGUUUUGCUUUAUGAAAUUAUAUCUACAGAAACAGUAUUUGCAUUUAUAUAGGCUUAGUUAUAAUAAAGUUUAAGCUUAACACACCCCCUUGCCUUUGCAAACAAACAAACCGAUCAGCCAACCAGAAACCCCUGUUAAAAUAAUAUUUAUCCCUUGGUUUUUGUAGAUCUGAAUAGGAUUCUGCUAAAUGGGUCCCACUGACUGCUGUAAAGACCUAAAACUGGUGAGCACGUGAAGUGCAGGAAUGCGAAGCUAUGGCCUCCCCUCCAGCUUCAGCUUUGCUUUAAGGCUACCUCUGUCCUCACAUGAAUUAAAAACAAAGCUCUCUUAAAAAUGUGGUUGAAGAAAAAGCAUUAUGCAUUAAGACAAAAAGGUUGCCUAAGAAAAUGUAUUCAUGACCCAGAAGAAUGUAUAAUUGAUGUGUGUGGUUGUCUGGAUGGAGGAAUAACAAUAGCAACCAUUAGCGACGAGAGCUGGAACAAGUCAGGCAGUGAGGCAGGAUGUGUUUUAUAG
RNAcentral lists this long non-coding RNA (1114 nucleotides) under Anser brachyrhynchus (Pink-footed goose). RNAcentral describes it as "lncRNA (ENSABRG00000014928.1)". The record is from RNAcentral. Lineage: Eukaryota; Metazoa; Chordata; Aves; Anseriformes; Anatidae.